Molecule: transfer RNA, 82 nt
Filed under: Verrucomicrobiota bacterium
Lineage: Bacteria; Pseudomonadati; Verrucomicrobiota
Description: Verrucomicrobia bacterium (mine drainage metagenome) tRNA-Leu
Rfam family: tRNA
About the family: Transfer RNA (tRNA) molecules are approximately 80 nucleotides in length. Their secondary structure includes four short double-helical elements and three loops (D, anti-codon, and T loops).
Source: RNAcentral
GCUCUCGUGGCGGAAUCGGUAGACGCGCUAGAUUCAGGAUCUAGUGGGGAGACCCGUGGAGGUUCGAAUCCUCUCGAGAGCA